This 107-nucleotide small nucleolar RNA is filed under the name Theobroma cacao (cacao). RNAcentral's name for it is "Plant small nucleolar RNA R71". It matches the Rfam family "Plant small nucleolar RNA R71". Rfam says of the family: R71 is a member of the C/D box family of snoRNAs containing the C (UGAUGA) and D (CUGA) box motifs. Multiple nearly identical copies of this snoRNA have been identified in Arabidopsis, and it is thought to function as a 2'-O-ribose methylation guide for 18S ribosomal RNA. Lineage: Eukaryota; Viridiplantae; Streptophyta; Magnoliopsida; Malvales; Malvaceae. The record is from Rfam by way of RNAcentral.
AGACCAUGAUGAGGACAUCUCCAAAGUAAUUCUUUGUAUCUUUCCCAAGCCUUAUACAAUGAUUCAAAAUCUUGCAGCAUGAACAAUGUAAUAUCAUUCUUCAUUUU